RNAcentral lists this long non-coding RNA (1521 nucleotides) under Anser cygnoides (Swan goose). RNAcentral describes it as "lncRNA (ENSACDG00005018796.1)". Lineage: Eukaryota; Metazoa; Chordata; Aves; Anseriformes; Anatidae. The record is from RNAcentral.
AAAUGGUGGGGCUCAUCUUAAAGAAAAGUCCUGUUUCCAGGCUGACCAGGAGGGCAAAAGGAGGAAGGAAGAAGAAGGAGGAAAACUCGAGGGCGGCAACUCAGGAGCCGACCAAGCACAUAAAAACAUCUUCAAAGCGAAGAGCUUGUUUUUCAAAAACACCAGGGUUUCGCUGGAAACGACCCGAGCUGGAGCCGCCAAGCAGGGCCGGGAGCCGGGCCAGCUGCGGGGAAGCUGCCAGCUCUGAGUGCGUGCGUAACCCAACCUGCGCCUGAACUGUCCCUGGCCCACACUGGGACCAGGGCACCAUCUCCUUGGGGCGCCAGUGACCUUUUUUCUCCCUACCCUCUACUUCCUAAGCCCCUUCCCCAACACCAGUGGGUUCCUGCGAGUUGGGCUCCGCAGAAGUGAUGUUUGUCCAGGAUGCUUUUAUCCAUUCUGGCUCUUUUUCAGGGGCAAAGUCUUGCUCUCCCUGACAGCUCACUCAAAAAAUAGCACGGCGGCUAAUUUUGCUGGCUGGGAGGCUGCUGCGAUCGAUACCAAAUGCGGUGACUUCUGGUAUUUUUAAUGGCUCCCCGGGCAGCUUAUCAUCUUUGUAUACUUAGAUACUGAUGUCAUGGCAGCGUGGGUAAAUACACCAGGCAUGUAUUGCUGGGCAUGGCUGGGCUAAGCAAGAUGUAUUUUUUUUGUCUUUCCCUCCAGACAGGCUGCUUCUACAAAUUUUGGGUCUUGGGAAUGCAUCAGACCACACAGAUCCCCAGGCAGGGGUCAGCCCCAUUGCCUCAUGCUGCCUGCUUCAUCUUCUGCCGUUUUUAUUGGCACUGGAUGCUCUUUCAGGUGCUGGGAGCUGCACUGCACUGGCUGACUUGCCCGCUCAUGAUGCAGCUGGGAUGUGUACGGCAGUGCUGCGCAUUUCCCAGCAAAACAAGAUUUUCAGCUUUAACAUGCUCCUGGUCUUGCAAGAAUUCCAGUUUAACAGCCUAACUCCAAACUCUAUGCCUGAAUAUCUUCCUCCCCUGUCGCAGCAUAGCCUCUGGCCUGAUGUGGGGCAGAUGUGCACCCUGGGAGUUACAGGACUUGAGUUAGGACAUGAAAAUGGAGAAUUGGAUGGAGAGAAAUAUCCUUCUUUUCCCCAGCCAGGGCAGGACAGCUUGGAGAUAUCCAUGGGAAAGGAGGGCUCUGGCAAGCACCCUGACACAGUGCAGUGCAGGCCGCUGCCAGCCUCAAAGCCCAUGUGUCCCCACGUCCCCGUGUCCCUCCUGCAGCUCAGGAAAGGAGCAAAGUGCAGGGAGAUAAAACUUCUGCUCGCCAGGCUGCAUCCCCAGGGGUGGCAGGGAGCUGCAGCAGAGGCUGGACACUUUGGCACAGCAUUUCCCUACCUGCAUUCAGUGCAGAGAAGCCAUGGACAGGUGUGAGUGACCAGGCUUUGGAAAGAAGACCGUGACCACUUUCACACAGUAUCUGGGCUUUUCUGUCAACAAGUUGAAGAAAAAAAAAAAGCAGCAAAGUUUCUAACCAGAC